RNAcentral lists this long non-coding RNA (226 nucleotides) under Elaeis guineensis (African oil palm). Its description in RNAcentral is "long non-coding RNA (EGUI_LNC070282)". Lineage: Eukaryota; Viridiplantae; Streptophyta; Magnoliopsida; Arecales; Arecaceae. The record is from RNAcentral.
CUACAUAAAUAGUAAUAAAAUUAAUCAUAAAUUAUUUUAAAAUUAUUCUAAAUAUGUUCAUGAUUCUAGAUUUUAUUUGCAAAGAUUAGAUGCAACUUUUUUUAGAAAAAUAAAGUUUUUUUUUUGCAUUUAUCUUCAUAGGAUAUAGUCACAAUGGCACCCCUAACAUCAUAAGAAGACUAAUUGAAUAGAAAAAAAAGAGAGAUCUAAUCUUUAUUACCUCCUA